RNAcentral lists this ribosomal RNA (426 nucleotides) under uncultured bacterium. Its description in RNAcentral is "bacterial SSU rRNA". It matches the Rfam family "Bacterial small subunit ribosomal RNA", at positions 355 to 774 of the family's 1533-position model. The record is from RNAcentral.
UGGGGAAUUUUGACAAUGGGCGCAAGCCUGAUCCAGCAAUGCCGCGUGCAGGAUGAAGGCCUUCGGGUUGUAAACUGCUUUUGUACGGAGCGAAGAGGUCUGCCCAAAUACGGUGGGCUCAUGACGGUACCGUAAGAAUAAGCACCGGCUAACUACGUGCCAGCAGCCGCGGUAAUACGUAGGGUGCGAGCGUUAAUCGGAAUUACUGGGCGUAAAGCGUGCGCAGGCGGUUAUGCAAGACAGAGGUGAAAUCCCCGGGCUCAACCUGGGAACUGCCUUUGUGACUGCAUAGCUAGAGUACGGUAGAGGGGGAUGGAAUUCCGCGUGUAGCAGUGAAAUGCGUAGAUAUGCGGAGGAACACCGAUGGCGAAGGCAAUCCCCUGGACCUGUACUGACGCUCAUGCACGAAAGCGUGGGGAGCAAACA